Molecule: long non-coding RNA, 324 nt
Organism: Alosa alosa (allis shad)
Lineage: Eukaryota; Metazoa; Chordata; Actinopteri; Clupeiformes; Clupeidae
Exons: 3
Source: RefSeq, a predicted model, not a curated record
UGGGACAACAAUUGCACAGCCAAUAGAGGAAAUGUUGACAGCCCUUCGUUAUGUCCCAAAACUGAUUAAUUCAGCAAACAAAUUCGGCCUUGAUCUCCCUGCACCAUCGGCAUCAUUUUCAGGAGACAUUGAAAUUGAAAUGAGGAGGUACUUGCCCAGUACACUCUGACUGACAAGUCUGGGAAAAGGGGCCCCUAAACGUCAGUUGACCAAAGUGCAGGCCAUAACUGGUAUUUGAUGGUGGGUGAUGCAGUGCAGUCCAAGAAAUAAGAAAAUGUUCUGUUAUUCUUCUGCGUUGGAAGCAUUUCCAUUGUUUCAGCAAAC